AGGGGACACGCAAGUGGAAGGGAUCGAGCCAGGCUGCCAAGAAAAUCCUCUAAGCGAUGAGCCGUAGGUGCCCGUACCGCAAACCGACACAGGUGGGCUGGUAGAACAUACUAAGGCGAACGGGAGAACCCUCGUUAAGGAAUUAGGCAAUUUAACCCCGUAACUUCGGGAAAAGGGGUGCCUUCUAGGGUGAAGUUUGCACAGAUGGAGCUCUGGGAGGUCGCAGUGAAAUGGCUCUAGUGACUGGUUACCAAAACCACAGGUCUCUGCGAACUCGAAAGAGGACGUAUAGGGGCUGACACCUGCCCAGUGCCGGAAGGUUAAGGGGAGGGGUCACCUGGGCGAAAGCCUGGGGAAGCUCAGAACCGAAGCCCCGGUGAACGGCGGCCGUAACAAUAACGGUCCUAAGGUAGCGAAAUUCCUUGUCGGGUAAGUUCCGACCCGCACGAACGGUGUAACAACUAGAGCAGUGUCUCGACGAGGGACCCGGCGAAAUUGAAGACGCGGUAAAGAUACCGAGUACCCGCAGCAGGACAAAAAGACCCCGUGGAGCUUUACUGUAACUUGGCACUGCAUUAGGGUUGUGCUUGUGUAGGAUAGGUGGGAGGCGGAGAAGCCUGGUCGCUAGACUGGGUGGAGCCGACGGUGAAAUACCACCCUGGCGCAAUCUUGAUGCUAACCCGCAGCCGUAAGCCGGUGUGGGGACCGUGCCAGGCGGGCAGUUUGACUGGGGUGGUCGCCUCCUAAAAGGUAACGGAGGCGCCCAAAGGUUCCCUCAGGUGGAAUGGAAACCCACCGCAGAGUGCGAAGGCAAAAGGGAGCUUGACAGCGAGACAAACAGGUCGAGCAGAGACGAAAGUCGGGCUUAGUGAUCCUACGGUUCCGAGUGGAAGGGCCGUGGCGAACGGAUAAAAGCUACCCCGGGGAUAACAGGGUGGUGAGGCCCAAGAGUUCACAUCGACGGCCUCGCUCGCCACCUCGAUGUCGGCUCAACACAUCCUGGGGUUGGACAAGGUCCCAAGGGUUGGACUGUUCGUCCAUUAAAGUGUUACGCGAGCUGGGUUCAGACCGUCGUGAGACAGGUCGGUCUCUAUCCGCUGUGGGCGAAGGGGACUUGAGGGGAACUGCCCUCAGUACGAGAGGACCAGGGUGGACGGGCCGCUGGUGUGUCAGUUGUGUCGCCAGACGCAUCGCUGAGUAGCCAGGUCCGGCAAGGAUAACCGCUGAAAGCAUCUAAGUGGGAAGCCUGCCCCAAGAUGAGGUCCCCCACUCCGAGAAGGAGGUAAGGCCGCUGGAAGACGACCAGUUAGAUAGGCGGGAAGUGGAAGCGCAGCAAUGUGCGGAGCUAACCCGUACUAAAGGCCGAGGGCUUCUGUCG
Molecule: ribosomal RNA, 1378 nt
Filed under: metagenome
Description: bacterial LSU rRNA
Rfam family: Bacterial large subunit ribosomal RNA
Source: RNAcentral